UAGUCCACGCCGUAAACGAUGAUCACUCGCUGUCUGCGAUACACAGUAGGCGGCUGAGCGAAAGCAUUAAGUGAUCCACCUGGGGAGUACGAUCGCAAGGUUGAAACUCAAAGGAAUUGACGGGGGCCCGCACAAGCGGAGGAACAUGUGGUUUAAUUCGAUGGUACGCGAGGAACCUUACCUGGGCUUAAAUGUAGAUUGCAUAGAGUAGAGAUAUUCUUUCCCUUCGGGGCUAUUUACAAGGUGCUGCAUGGUUGUCGUCAGCUCGUGCCGUGAGGUGUCGGGUUAAGCCCCAUAACGAGCGCAACCCCUAUCGUUAGUUGCUAGCAGGUGAUGCUGAGGACUCUAGCGAGACUGCCACCGUAAGGUGAGAGGAAGGUGGGGGAUGACGUCAAAUCAGCACGGGCCCUUAUGUCCAGGGGCUACACACGUGUUACAAUGGCAGGGUACAAAGGGGCAGCUACACAGCGAUGUGAUGCUAA
RNAcentral lists this ribosomal RNA (482 nucleotides) under uncultured bacterium. Its description in RNAcentral is "bacterial SSU rRNA". It matches the Rfam family "Bacterial small subunit ribosomal RNA", at positions 791 to 1271 of the family's 1533-position model. The record is from RNAcentral.